Molecule: transfer RNA, 84 nt
Filed under: Bacteroidota bacterium
Lineage: Bacteria; Pseudomonadati; Bacteroidota
Description: Bacteroidetes bacterium (grounwater metagenome) tRNA-Tyr
Rfam family: tRNA
About the family: Transfer RNA (tRNA) molecules are approximately 80 nucleotides in length. Their secondary structure includes four short double-helical elements and three loops (D, anti-codon, and T loops). Further hydrogen bonds mediate the characteristic L-shaped molecular structure. tRNAs have two regions of fundamental functional importance: the anti-codon, which is responsible for specific mRNA codon recognition, and the 3' end, to which the tRNAs corresponding amino acid is attached (by aminoacyl-tRNA synthetases). tRNAs cope with the degeneracy of the genetic code in two manners: having more than one tRNA (with a specific anti-codon) for a particular amino acid; and 'wobble' base-pairing, i.e. permitting non-standard base-pairing at the 3rd anti-codon position.
Source: RNAcentral
GGGUGGGUAGCAAAGUAGUCAAAUGCAACAGACUGUAAAUCUGUCGGCCCUUGGCCUUCGUAGGUGCAAAUCCUACCCCACCCA